Small nucleolar RNA from Solanum pennellii, 82 nucleotides. RefSeq annotates it as small nucleolar RNA SNORD34. The transcript has a single exon. NCBI's taxonomy places the organism in Eukaryota, Viridiplantae, Streptophyta, Magnoliopsida, Solanales, Solanaceae. The record is from RefSeq and is a predicted model, not a curated record.
CAAGGCCUAUGAUGGAAUAUGAUAACAUGCCUACAUUGUCUGAUCAUAUAAGUUUGAUUGAGCAACAUGAACUGAGGCCUUG